GACCCUCGAAGGUCGUGCACGCCCGACCGCUCUCACACAAUCCAUCUCACCCCUUUUGUGCAUCACCGCGUGGGUCCCCCUUUUCGGAGGGAGGGCUUGCGUUUUCACAUAAAGCUCGAUACGGUUUAGAAUGUCUUUAUUUUUGCGAUCACACGCGAUCCGUACAACUUUCAACAACGGAUCUCUUGGCUCUCGCAUCGAUGAACAACGCAGCGAAAUGCGAUACGUAAUGUGAAUUGCAAAAUUCAGAGAAUCAUCGAAUCUUUGAACGCACCUUGCGCCCCUUGGCAUUCCGAGGGGCACACCCGUUUGAGUGUCGUGAAAUUCUCAAAACCCUUUCUUUUCUUUGAUCGGAAUAGGGCUUUUGGACUUGGAGGUUCGAUGCCCGCUUUCGCCUUUGAAAGCGAGCUCCUCCCAAACGAAUUAGUGGGGUCCGCUUGGCCGAUCCUUGACGUGAUAAAACAUUUCUACGUUUUGGACCCGGCAUCGUUCUUUUGGACAUCUGCUCCUAACCGUCUCAUGGACGACGAUGGUGCUCCGGUCUUUGCCACCCAUGUUGGCAGAAGGCUUGACCCACAAAAAAAAAUAUACCUUGGCCUCAACUCGGGUGAAACUACCCGCUAAACUAAAGCAUAUCAAUAAGGCGGAGGGAA
RNAcentral lists this ribosomal RNA (653 nucleotides) under uncultured Russulaceae. RNAcentral describes it as "eukaryotic LSU rRNA". The stretch from base 166 to 319 matches the Rfam family "5.8S ribosomal RNA". Lineage: Eukaryota; Fungi; Basidiomycota; Agaricomycetes; Russulales; Russulaceae. The record is from RNAcentral.